GCGAAGCGACAGAUGUCAGGUCCCACGAGGAAGAGACGUGCGUCGCGCAAGUUGGUACCCAUAACCAUAUGUAAGGUUACCCGACGCGGCGUUAGCGUUCGUUUCCCCAACCAGGAAACCACAGAAACUUCUCGACCGUCGAAGCUUUUCUAUUUCUCGAUUUUUGGAACAAUAUCAACGGUCGAGAGAGCUCAAUCGCGAUCGAGGAGGGUGCGUUUAUAUAUACUUGAGGGAGACACUUCAGGUUCGGUAUGAGCGGAGGGCGGGGAAGAAGCGAUGAGACUUCAAGAAUUCGGCAGGGAAGAAGGGAAUCAGCGAUGUGGGGGAGAGAGAGAGAGAGAGAGAGAGUGUGUGUGUGUGUGUGUGUGUGUGUUAGGUUAGGUUCGGGCGUAGCGAGGGAGAAGGCGAUGAGGGAGCGUGAACGAGAUACUUCCCCGAUCGCCGGUUCCUUGUCGUGAUCCUUUUCGUAUACCUCCUGGAGCAACCGGUAGGCUCGCGGUCUCCGCUAUCGGUCGGCGAUGUCCGAAACGCCGUUCCUGAGGGCAAGAUCGAGUUCCGCGAGGGCGACAGUCGGAUCACCAUAUCCAGUGUCCGAGUCCACGCCGACAUCGUCGUCCUCGGGCCACAGAGUGCUGGGAUUACGAAUCCCUCACCGUUCAGGGGGUCCAGGUGAGGCUGCUGAUCCAAGGCACUUUGUGCUGAUGGUGUGGCCAACAUUUAGCCACGCUUGCGCGCUGUUUAUUAGAUCUGUCGCAAUUCUGGUCCAAUGCUUCCAUGCUGUUUUUCUAGUUUUAGGCAUGAUUUCUUUUUCAUAUUUUUUGCUUCGUAGUUUUCGUUAUGCGGGCAACUCCAGGGAAACCACUAGCAGUCGAUAUUUCCAUCUGAUUGUUAAAGAAAUUACAAUUUAAUGAUUAAUUUAAAAAUAUAUUAAAUGGUUCAUCUAAAACUUAUUUUACA
Long non-coding RNA from Musa acuminata AAA Group (dessert banana), 957 nucleotides. RefSeq lists it as uncharacterized. Lineage: Eukaryota; Viridiplantae; Streptophyta; Magnoliopsida; Zingiberales; Musaceae. The record is from RefSeq and is a predicted model, not a curated record. The transcript has 2 exons.